CAGCUUGCUGCUUUGCUGACGAGUGGCGGACGGGUGAGUAAUGUCUGGGAAACUGCCUGAUGGAGGGGGAUAACUACUGGAAACGGUGGCUAAUACCGCAUAACGUCGCAAGACCAAAGAGGGGGACCUUCGGGCCUCUUGCCAUCAGAUGUGCCCAGAUGGGAUUAGCUUGUUGGUGAGGUAACGGCUCACCAAGGCGACGAUCCCUAGCUGGUCUGAGAGGAUGACCAGCCACACUGGAACUGAGACACGGUCCAGACUCCUACGGGAGGCAGCAGUGGGGAAUAUUGCACAAUGGGCGCAAGCCUGAUGCAGCCAUGCCGCGUGUAUGAAGAAGGCCUUCGGGUUGUAAAGUACUUUCAGCGGGGAGG
This 371-nucleotide ribosomal RNA is filed under the name Salmonella enterica subsp. enterica serovar Dublin. RNAcentral describes it as "bacterial SSU rRNA". It matches the Rfam family "Bacterial small subunit ribosomal RNA", at positions 76 to 447 of the family's 1533-position model. Lineage: Bacteria; Pseudomonadati; Pseudomonadota; Gammaproteobacteria; Enterobacterales; Enterobacteriaceae. The record is from RNAcentral. RNAcentral also lists the same sequence under 1 other name.